GAAGGUCAUGCAGUAAGGCAGGAGCUGAUUGUACUUCUCAGGUACCUGAGACUCUGCAUGUUCUUCUCAAAGGAGCAUUAUGAAGUGUUCCUAGAGUUUGGUGGAUAUGAGCAGAAUGAUAUUCUCAUAAGGAAGUCCAAGGCAAAGCUUAUGAAGCCCGCGUUCACGGUUGUUCGUGACGAAAGUACCAGAUGCUUCCUCCUUUUUAUCCGGGGAGCUAUCAGUGUUAAGGAUCGCCUGACGGCGGCAACUGCUACAGAGGUUCCGUUUCAUCAUGCUGUGUCACAAGAAGGCCGUGGAUCCUGUAUAGUUGUUGGGCAUGCACAUUGUGGAAUGGUUGCAGCAGCUCGCUGGGUUGCGGAUCAGGCCAUUCCCUGCCUCAGCAGAGCAGUCGAGCGAUUUCCAGACUACAAAAUUAAGGUAAGUAACUAA
RNAcentral lists this ribosomal RNA (432 nucleotides) under Triticum aestivum (bread wheat). RNAcentral describes it as "partial small subunit ribosomal RNA". The record is from RNAcentral. Lineage: Eukaryota; Viridiplantae; Streptophyta; Magnoliopsida; Poales; Poaceae.